Molecule: transfer RNA, 57 nt
Filed under: Dipodomys ordii (Ord's kangaroo rat)
Lineage: Eukaryota; Metazoa; Chordata; Mammalia; Rodentia; Heteromyidae
Rfam family: tRNA
About the family: Transfer RNA (tRNA) molecules are approximately 80 nucleotides in length. Their secondary structure includes four short double-helical elements and three loops (D, anti-codon, and T loops). Further hydrogen bonds mediate the characteristic L-shaped molecular structure. tRNAs have two regions of fundamental functional importance: the anti-codon, which is responsible for specific mRNA codon recognition, and the 3' end, to which the tRNAs corresponding amino acid is attached (by aminoacyl-tRNA synthetases). tRNAs cope with the degeneracy of the genetic code in two manners: having more than one tRNA (with a specific anti-codon) for a particular amino acid; and 'wobble' base-pairing, i.e. permitting non-standard base-pairing at the 3rd anti-codon position.
Source: Rfam by way of RNAcentral
UGGCUCAGUGGUAGAGCGCUUGCCUUGUAUGUAUGAGGCCUUGGGUUCGAUUCCUCA